AUCCUACGGGGGGCAGCAGUGGGGAAUAUUGGGCAAUGGGCGCAAGCCUGACCCAGCAACGCCGCGUGAAGGAAGAAGGCUUUCGGGUUGUAAACUUCUUUUCUCAGGGACGAAGAAAGCGACGGUACCUGAGGAAUAAGCCACGGCUAACUACGUGCCAGCAGCCGCGGCAAUACGUAGGUGGCAAGCGUUAUCAGGAUUUACUGGGUGUAAAGGGCGUGUAGGCGGGAAAGCAAGUCAGAUGUGCAAACCACGGGCUCAAACUGUGGCCUGCAUUUGAAACUGUUUUUCUUGAGAAC
Molecule: ribosomal RNA, 299 nt
Filed under: uncultured bacterium
Lineage: Bacteria
Description: partial 16S ribosomal RNA
Rfam family: Bacterial small subunit ribosomal RNA
Source: RNAcentral